This 497-nucleotide ribosomal RNA is filed under the name uncultured bacterium. RNAcentral's name for it is "partial 16S ribosomal RNA". It matches the Rfam family "Bacterial small subunit ribosomal RNA", at positions 28 to 507 of the family's 1533-position model. The record is from RNAcentral.
GAUGAACGCUGGCGGCGUGCCUAAUACAUGCAAGUCGAGCGAACAGACGAGGAGCUUGCUCCUCUGACGUUAGCGGCGGACGGGUGAGUAACACGUGGAUAACCUACCUAUAAGACUGGGAUAACUUCGGGAAACCGGAGCUAAUACCGGAUAACAUGUUGAACCGCAUGGUUCAACAGUGAAAGACGGUUUUGCUGUCACUUAUAGAUGGAUCCGCGCCGCAUUAGCUAGUUGGUAAGGUAACGGCCUACCAAGGCAACGAUGCGUAGCCGACCUGAGAGGGUGAUCGGCCACACUGGAACUGAGACACGGUCCAGACUCCUACGGGAGGCAGCAGUAGGGAAUCUUCCGCAAUGGGCGAAAGCCUGACGGAGCAACGCCGCGUGAGUGAAGAAGGUCUUCGGAUCGUAAAACUCUGUUAUUAGGGAAGAACAAAUGUGUAAGUAACUAUGCACGUCUUGACGGUACCUAAUCAGAAAGCCACGGCUAACUACGUG